UUGUGGAGUUGCUCCUGGGCAAUUGAUAGGUUCUUCUUGGUGGACCUUGAUGAUAUAUUUUGUUAGAUUGGCAGUUACAUGUAUAAGCUACCUCUGGAAACGUAUUUAGAAGGAUAUAGGUAGUAACUCCUUCUAGUGAAACAAAUCAGAAAGGAUUCAAAGUGUUUACUACUUGGAAGGGAAAGAAAGUCAUCGUUGAUAUUACCACCAACAAUUUGCGUUUGAUAAGGGACAAAUAUAUCAAGAUUGAACAAACCUGUGGUGGGGAUUUGUUUUUCCCUUUAGCCUGAGUGAAA
Molecule: long non-coding RNA, 296 nt
Filed under: Gossypium barbadense (sea-island cotton)
Lineage: Eukaryota; Viridiplantae; Streptophyta; Magnoliopsida; Malvales; Malvaceae
Description: long non-coding RNA (GBAR_LNC014654)
Source: RNAcentral